GAUGAAGAACGUAGCGAAAUGCGAUAAGUAAUGUGAAUUGCAGAAUUCAGUGAAUCAUCGAAUCUUUGAACGCAUCUUGCGCUCCUUGGUAUUCCGAGGAGCAUGCCUGUUUGAGUGUCAUUAAAGUUCUCAACCAUGCCAGUUUUCUCUGGUCCAUGGCCUUGGAUGUGGGGGGUUUAUCAUUUAGCUGGCUUUGGAGACAAAGUCGGCUCCCCUGAAAUGCAUUAGUAGUAUUCGAGCAGAAAUCUACCACAGGUGUGAUGAAUUAUCUAUGCCUUGGUAUCAACUGUGUGCACUGCUUUCUCUAACAACAUUUGACAAAUUUGACCUCAAAUCAGGCAGGACUACCCGCUGAACUUAAGCAUAUCAAUAAGCGGAGGA
Molecule: unclassified non-coding RNA, 381 nt
Filed under: soil metagenome
Description: partial contains 5.8S ribosomal RNA, internal transcribed spacer 2, and large subunit ribosomal RNA
Rfam family: 5.8S ribosomal RNA (bases 1-120)
Source: RNAcentral